Molecule: ribosomal RNA, 436 nt
Filed under: uncultured Streptococcus sp.
Lineage: Bacteria; Bacillati; Bacillota; Bacilli; Lactobacillales; Streptococcaceae
Description: bacterial SSU rRNA
Rfam family: Bacterial small subunit ribosomal RNA
Source: RNAcentral
UGCGAACGGGUGAGUAACGCGUAGGUAACCUGCCUGGUAGCGGGGGAUAACUAUUGGAAACGAUAGCUAAUACCGCAUAAAAUUGAUUAUUGCAUGAUAAUUGAUUGAAAGGUGCAAUUGCACCACUACCAGAUGGACCUGCGUUGUAUUAGCUAGUUGGUGAGGUAACGGCUCACCAAGGCGACGAUACAUAGCCGACCUGAGAGGGUGAUCGGCCACACUGGGACUGAGACACGGCCCAGACUCCUACGGGAGGCAGCAGUAGGGAAUCUUCGGCAAUGGGGGGAGCCCUGACCGAACAACGCCGCGUGAGUGAAGAAGGUUUUCGGAUCGUAAAGCUCUGUUGUAAGAGAAGAACGGGUGUGAGAGUGGAAAGUUCACACUGUGACGGUAUCUUACCAGAAAGGGACGGCUAACUACGUGCCAGCAGCCGCGG